GCACCCAUAGCUCAGCGGAUUAGAGCAUCGAUCUUCGGAAUCGAGUGUCGGGGGUUCGAGUCCCUCUGGGUGCG
This 74-nucleotide transfer RNA is filed under the name Ktedonobacter racemifer DSM 44963. It matches the Rfam family "tRNA". From Rfam's summary of the family: Transfer RNA (tRNA) molecules are approximately 80 nucleotides in length. The record is from Rfam by way of RNAcentral. RNAcentral also lists the same sequence under 2 other names. Lineage: Bacteria; Bacillati; Chloroflexota; Ktedonobacteria; Ktedonobacterales; Ktedonobacteraceae.